Danio rerio (zebrafish) is the source of this 115-nucleotide non-coding RNA. The record is from Rfam. NCBI's taxonomy places the organism in Eukaryota, Metazoa, Chordata, Actinopteri, Cypriniformes, Danionidae.
UCCGGCAGCUAGCUCUCUGCAACUCUCACAUGGUCGCCCACUCAAGCUAAGCAAGGCUGCGCCCGGUCAGUACCUGGAUGGGAAACCACAUGGGAAAGCUAGGUUGCUGCCGGAA